This 230-nucleotide ribosomal RNA is filed under the name uncultured bacterium. Its description in RNAcentral is "partial 16S ribosomal RNA". It matches the Rfam family "Bacterial small subunit ribosomal RNA", at positions 524 to 753 of the family's 1533-position model. The record is from RNAcentral.
UACGUAGGGUGCAAGCGUUGUCCGGAAUUAUUGGGCGUAAAGAGCUCGUAGGCGGUUCGUCGCGUCGGCUGUGAAAACCUGAGGCUCAACCUCAGGCCUGCAGUCGAUACGGGCGGACUUGAGUACUGCAGGGGAGACUGGAAUUCCUGGUGUAGCGGUGAAAUGCGCAGAUAUCAGGAGGAACACCGGUGGCGAAGGCGGGUCUCUGGGCAGUAACUGACGUGGAGGAG